Molecule: non-coding RNA, 87 nt
Organism: Desmophyllum pertusum
Lineage: Eukaryota; Metazoa; Cnidaria; Anthozoa; Scleractinia; Caryophylliidae
Source: the annotation of a GenBank genome assembly
GGCUUCAUAGCUCAGUUGGUAGAGCAUCGCACUAGUAACGCGGAGGUCAUGGGUUCACAUGGCAAAGAAUGAGGGAUAUUUGAGCCC